CUCCUUUCUCAUAGACGAUUCAGGCUACAACAAAUGUCGCGACCUGAGCUCUUCUUUGUGUGUUGAGCUGUUUUUUUGUACAUUUUCACAGUGUUAUUUAAACAGUGCAUUAAGUUUUUUCCGCGAGUGUUUACAAGUGUGCAGAGUUAGGUAGUUCAUCAUUGCUGUUUUAAGGCAAGGAUUUUUGCCAUCAGAAGGAGGGAUUUACAAAGUGUAAGUCAACUCUCUCUGCUGGCAGUCAGGUUA
Molecule: long non-coding RNA, 246 nt
Organism: Cimex lectularius (bed bug)
Lineage: Eukaryota; Metazoa; Arthropoda; Insecta; Hemiptera; Cimicidae
Exons: 3
Source: RefSeq, a predicted model, not a curated record